RNAcentral lists this long non-coding RNA (1334 nucleotides) under Oryctolagus cuniculus (rabbit). RNAcentral describes it as "lncRNA (ENSOCUG00000036948.1)". Lineage: Eukaryota; Metazoa; Chordata; Mammalia; Lagomorpha; Leporidae. The record is from RNAcentral.
GACAAAUUAAGAUGGAAGUUUUAGGAAAGUAUUUGGAUAAAAAUGCCAAAGAAGUAAAUCUGUGCUAUAAGUAAAUCAUUAUGAUAAUUAAAUAAAAAAUGGAUUUCUGCUCUAAUUUGCACAAAGCUGAUGAAUGGCACAAAAUGAUAUACAGAAGAAAAGAUAACUGGAAGGAUUGAAACACAACAUAAUCAUUCCUAGUUCAGAUGCAAAUGUUAUUAGCUUCUCUUCUAGUUUGAUCUUUUCUUUAGACAUACAGACUUUCAAAUUCAACUAACAAGGAAAAGUAAAAUUUGCACAUAAUUCAGAUGCUGUUUUUUAUGAGGUACAGAGAGAUUUAAAAACAAAUCCUUUCCAAUAAACUCCCAAGUUAAUAGUCAGGAAGUUUACCUUAUGGGAUGAUGUGUCUAUCUCUUAACCACAGCGAAUGGACACUGAUUAAUAAUCUGCUGGACAACAGUUGUGCAAUCCCUUAGGGGACCUCAGAAGUCACUGCUGGAAAAGUACAAGGGAGUUUAAAGAAGGGGAGGAUGGAAGGAAAGGCUGAGGCUCCCAAGUGGAAUCAGGAAAUUAAGAGGUUCAGCUGAAGAUCCUCUAAGUGGCACUUUAGUGGGGAAGCUUCAGAGUACUUACAGCUCCCCUUGCUGGCAGCAAGUAAGAAGUGCAGCUUUAUGUGAAGACUUCAGCAUGCUUAUCCUGAAAAUAACAGCGAAGUGUGGUCUCUGCGCCUGCUGCUCCCUCUGCUGAUCUGAAGCCGCACAGCCCAGCACGAUUCCUACCUACUUGGUUUUCUGGAGGGACCCCAGGAUGACACAUGUGGAUCACAGCAUGUGAGACCAAUGUGAUGAAGAGGUCCUGCUAAACUGGUGAAGUUUCGAGUGCCUCAGUUGUCCAGAUCAUGCUUAGGCAAUCUCUUCCAAGGCAAGUGGUAGCGUGCUGCUCCUGAUAUCAUUUACCUUAAGAAGGGAGAGGAUCACAAAUAUCAGUGGUACCUGAGCUCGUCACUACAGAAUAGUGACCAGUGGGAAUGAAAUAUGGUAUUCGUGAAUAAGUAUGAACACUUCAAAGUCUAUGCGUAUGCAACAUGUUUUAUGCAGGGUAGCAAAAGCAAUUAGAGAUCCUUAGUGCAUAAAGAAACUGUAUGGCAAGGAGUGCUAAAAAAAUCAUCGGUAGGUAGUCAGGGCUGAAACAAUAGAUUUAACCACUGAGCAGUGUUUAGCAAGACAGUUGUCUUAAUUGUUUCUCCCAGUAUAUAGAAACUGCUGUUCCGUUGCUAGAAAAUGCUAACACAAAAAGCAGGUGUGAGGGAAAAGGGAAGAAACAGAGCUGCCGGC